AUUUUCUAGCCAUGAAUGAGUCAUUAGUAUUGAAUGUUACGAAUACAGCAGUCAAUAAUGUUAUAUUACCCUGCAGACCAACCUCUCCUGAAGUACAAGUUGAGUUGAAUGAAGAAGGGAAUUCAAUCAAAACAUCAUACGAGUAUGACUCAAAAGUUGGAUACCACGUGACCAAAUUAAUCGAUAAAUCUACCAAUUUCACUUGCUCAGCUAGGUACCGCAAUUCAGAUUGGAAACAUUAUAAAAUUCAAGUGGUGGUUCAUCUUGCAGGAAAAAAUCAGAUAGACCCAGAUAAACCCCAUGAAAAAUCAAAUUCCGGAUUUUUAGCUGUAGUAAAAGAAUACACGUAUGAUUUCGAUGUAGGUGUAGCUAUUUUCCUCGUGAUAUUACCCUUAUCGAUAUCUAUAUACUUGACGAAGUUGACGAUGCGUAAAAGAAG
This is a long non-coding RNA of Planococcus citri (citrus mealybug), 439 nucleotides long. RefSeq lists it as uncharacterized. The record is from RefSeq and is a predicted model, not a curated record. The transcript has 4 exons. NCBI's taxonomy places the organism in Eukaryota, Metazoa, Arthropoda, Insecta, Hemiptera, Pseudococcidae.